CCUAUGUCAAGUUCAGAAAAAAUAUCUCUCACAGAAGGACAGCUUUUAAGUCAAGAUGAUAGCACAAAGUAUAGGAGUCUAGUGGGUGCACUCCAAUAUCUCACACUUACUAGACCUGAUAUUUCAUUUGCUGUCAACAAAGUCUGUCAGUUUCUCCAUGCACCUACUUCAGUUCACUGGACUGCUGCUAAACGUAUUGUUCGCUAUGUCAAGAAUACUGCCAAUAUUGGUUUGAAUUUCAGCAAGUCAUCCUCUAUACUUGUAAGUGCUUUUUCAAACUCUGACUGGGCAGGUUGCUUGGAUGAUAGAAGGUCCACUGGUGGCUUUGCAAUUUUCUUUCGCCCAAACUUAAUAUCCUGGUGUGCAAGAAAACAAGCCACUGUUUCCAGGUCCAGUACAGAGGCAGAGUAUAAGGCACUGGCAAAUGCCACAGCUGAGGUCAUAUGGGUACAAUCCAUGUUAAAAGAACUUGGUGUCAGGAGUAGUCAAGUUCCUUGUUUAUGGUGUGAUAACUUGGGUGCUACAUAUUUAUCUACC
This 537-nucleotide ribosomal RNA is filed under the name Triticum aestivum (bread wheat). Its description in RNAcentral is "partial small subunit ribosomal RNA". The record is from RNAcentral. Lineage: Eukaryota; Viridiplantae; Streptophyta; Magnoliopsida; Poales; Poaceae.